AUGUCCACCACCGCACACCCUCCUGCCUCCCUCUCAGGGGACUCCUCGCCGACUACCUCCGGCUCAUUCUCCCCCUCCUCCUCCGCCGCCGUCGCUGGCUCCGAUGAGCCCGCGCUUCUCGGGCAAGCCACCUCGACUUCCACCCCCUCUGCUGCCGGGGAUGACGCCACCGUACCCUCCUCGCCCCAAAUGGGCAUGUACUUCGAGACGGAGGACGACGCCUACGAGUUCUACAAGGCAUACGCCGCCCGCCUUGGCUUCGUCGUCCGCAAGUCCAACAAGUCCAAGAACUCCCGGCACACCGUCACCCGCCGUCUCUUCGUCUGCUCCAAGCAAGGUUUCCGCCAAGAACCCAAGAAGCCUCAAGAUGAGACCAACGCCACCGACGUCACCGUUGCUGCACCGCCACCGCCUCCUAGGUGCCCGGACUCACGCACCGGCUGCCUGGCGUCCCUCACCAUCAAGCUACUCCCUUCGGCCAAUGCCUUCCGUGUCACUGAGUUUGUAGCCCAGCACAACCACCCGCUCGCCUCUGCAGUGUCCGCGGUGUCACUGGCAAUGAUUCCGUCAAGUUCUUCGCAUCACACCAUUGCCGCUGCGGCAAGCUUGCCGGACCCAAGGGACGGGCCACGCCCAGAGAUGCACUUCGAGACGGAAGAUGACGCCUAUGCCUUCUACAACCGGUACGCCGAGCAUGUGGGUUUCAGCGUCCGCCGCUCAUACAAGAAGCGCAAGCAUGGGGUGAUCGUGUCUCGUAUCUUUGUUUGUUCCCGUGAGGGCGUCAGUGACCGUGCCAAGCAUGAUGGCCUAGCCAGUAUCAGCGCCAAUGCUGGUGGAGGGGCACCAGGCACACCUAGGCCAGGCCCACCACCAACACGAACAGGUUGCCAGGCAAGAAUGGUGAUCAAGAUCACCCCAUGCCGAACAUACCGGGUUGCUAAAUUUAUUUCGGAGCAUAAUCACCCACUCGCUAACUCAGAGACCGUGCACAAGCUGCGGUCCCAUAAGAUGAGGGCUCGAGGGCACGAGCUUGGCCCAGGGGAACUGCAUCGAAGGAAGCAGGGAAAGGGUGUGCAGCUUGGGGAUGCUGGUGCUGCAUUGGAAUACUUGGAAGGGUUGCAGGUGGGAAACCCUUCACUGUAUUAUGCAGUAGGAAUGGCACCUGAUGGGAAUUCAGCUGUAAAUUUCUUCUGGGCUGAUGCAAAGUCAAUCAUCGACUUCAGAAGCUUUGGUGAUGUCGUUUGCUUUGAUACAACAUAUGGGCUGAAUGUGUAUGGGCGACCAUUUGCAUUGUUUGUUGGUGUGGACAACCACAAGCAGUUACUCGUGUUUGGUGCAGCCUUGCUCUAUGAUGAUGGCAUCCAGUCACUGAAAUGGGUAUUUCAGGCGUUUGCUGAUGCCAUGCGUGAUAGGCAGCCAAAGACUAUUCUGAUUGAUGAGCGUUCUGAAUGUUCCAUUGCAGCAGCAGAGGUCUGGCCUGGGAGUAACCAUUGCACAAGCGUGUGGCAUAUAUACCACAGUUCAAAGAGGCACUUGAAGCAGGUGUUCGAAAGCUCGAAAAGUUUUGGCAAUGCUUUGAGCCAGUGUCUCUUUGACUGUGAGGAUAAGAUGGAGUUCUUGUCUGCAUGGGAAAAGCUAAUUGAGAAACAUGACAUUGGUGAGAGUGAAUGGCUCAGCAGACUAUUUCUAGAGAAAGAAAAAUGGGCUCUGCCUUAUAGGAGAACUGUGUUUUCUGCUGAUAUUCUCAGUACUCUUAGAAAGGAUAGUAUGAUUAAUGAGCUAAAACGGGAGCUCAGUGAGCAAGAAGAUAUUCUGCUGUUCUUCAAGCGUUAUGAGACCAUACUGGAAGAGCAUCGCUCAAAGAAAUUGCAGGCUGAUGUUGAUGGAAAUCAGGUGACUUUGCCAAUCCCGUCCUUGCGAAUGUUAAAACAAUCUUCAAAUGCAUAUACACCUGAAGCUUUCAAGAUGUUCCAGGGUGAGUUUGAGGCUUACAUGAACUGCAUGUCCUUCCCCUGCAGUGCGGUUGGGACAGUGUCAGAGUACAAAAUAACACUUGAUGAGAAGCCAUUAGAGGCCAUUGUGAAAUUUGAUGCACUAGAUGGCUUGGGCACUUGCAGCUGCAGGAAGUUUGAAUCUGUUGGAAUCCAGUGUUGUCAUGUACUAAAGGUACUUGAUCUCAAGAAUAUCAAGGAGCUCCCAGAACAAUACAUUUUGAAGAGAUGGAGGAAAGAUGCCCGCUCUGUUAGAAUGGGAGAAGAACCUAACUGUGGAUCUAGCAGUAUCAUGCGGUCAUCUUUGGAUGUUCGCUUCUCUAACAUGUGCCGUAUGGUUAGCCUUAUAGCUUCAAGGGCCGCCAAAUCUGAGGAGGCAAUGUCAUACAUUGAGAGUCAAUCAAGCGUUCUUCUGAAGCAUCUGGAUGAAAUUCUACAGACAGGCUAUCCUGAGAAUGGAAACCAUGAUGUUGCUUCAAGUAGUCAAGCAAUUUCUUUUGUAGGAAAUCAUCCUGACCAUACAACACAAGCAAGAGCAGUUGCACAUACAGCGAAUGGACUGACAUCCUUGUUGGGAAUUUCUGCUUAUCCUGAAUCCAGUGGACAAUUGAAAGGUUCAGUCGGUUCCUUGUAG
Molecule: ribosomal RNA, 2625 nt
Filed under: Triticum aestivum (bread wheat)
Lineage: Eukaryota; Viridiplantae; Streptophyta; Magnoliopsida; Poales; Poaceae
Description: partial small subunit ribosomal RNA
Source: RNAcentral